Molecule: unclassified non-coding RNA, 334 nt
Filed under: soil metagenome
Description: partial contains 5.8S ribosomal RNA, internal transcribed spacer 2, and large subunit ribosomal RNA
Rfam family: 5.8S ribosomal RNA (bases 1-120)
Source: RNAcentral
GAUGAAGAACGUAGCGAAAUGCGAUAAGUAGUGUGAAUUGCAGAAUUCAGUGAAUCAUCGAAUCUUUGAACGCACAUUGCGCCCCUUGGUAUUCCAUGGGGCAUGCCUGUUCGAGCGUCAUUUGUACCUUCAAGCUUUGCUUGGUGUUGGGUGUUUGUCCAUUCUCUUGCAGAGGGACUCGCCUUAAAGUAAUUGGCAGCCAGUGUUUUGGUUUUGAAGCGCAGUACAAGUCGCGAUUCAACGCUAUACGCCAGCUUCCACAAGCCUUUUUCACUUUUGACCUCGGAUCAGGUAGGGAUACCCGCUGAACUUAAGCAUAUCAAUAAGCGGAGGA